UGGGGAAUAUUGGACAAUGGGCGAAAGCCUGAUCCAGCAAUGCCGCGUGAGUGAUGAAGGCCCUAGGGUUGUAAAGCUCUUUUACCCGGGAUGAUAAUGACAGUACCGGGAGAAUAAGCCCCGGCUAACUCCGUGCCAGCAGCCGCGGUAAUACGGAGGGGGCUAGCGUUGUUCGGAAUUACUGGGCGUAAAGCGCGCGUAGGCGGCUUUGUAAGUCAGAGGUGAAAGCCCGGAGCUCAACUUCGGAAUUGCCUUUGAGACUGCAUCGCUUGAAUCCGGGAGAGGUGAGUGGAAUUCCGAGUGUAGAGGUGAAAUUCGUAGAUAUUCGGAAGAACACCAGUGGCGAAGGCGGCUCACUGGACCGGUAUUGACGCUGAGGUGCGAAAGCGUGGGGAGCAAACAGG
This 404-nucleotide ribosomal RNA is filed under the name uncultured bacterium. Its description in RNAcentral is "bacterial SSU rRNA". It matches the Rfam family "Bacterial small subunit ribosomal RNA", at positions 355 to 776 of the family's 1533-position model. The record is from RNAcentral.